RNAcentral lists this unclassified non-coding RNA (203 nucleotides) under uncultured Serendipitaceae. Its description in RNAcentral is "sequence contains ITS2". The record is from RNAcentral. Lineage: Eukaryota; Fungi; Basidiomycota; Agaricomycetes; Sebacinales; Serendipitaceae.
UAAUCUCACCACCUCGACUUCUUGUCUUGGUGCGUGGACUUGGACGUUGCCGUGUAACAAACGGCUCGUCUUAAAUGCCUGAGUGUACCCUGCCUUGCAGCGUAUUCGGUGUGAUAAAUCUUCACCGGAGUUGGUCUUUGGGACCGCGUUUGUAUCGGCGGCUCUAUGCUUCGAACCGUCUUUGAAAGAGACAACCUUUGACA